Molecule: long non-coding RNA, 897 nt
Organism: Mastomys coucha (southern multimammate mouse)
Lineage: Eukaryota; Metazoa; Chordata; Mammalia; Rodentia; Muridae
Exons: 3
Source: RefSeq, a predicted model, not a curated record
GUUAACUUGUCUAGAAUGAUCUUUCGGACCCCUUUGUCAUCUUUCAUUGUGGAAUCUGAGGCUGUAAUCCCUUACUUUGCUCUGUAAACCUGGUAGAACCUCCCAGAACACUUGCUCCAGGGCCAGCUUGCUAGACUAAAGGUGUUGGAAGGGAGGAUCCAGCUACAUGUACAGCCUCAUGUUUUAACAGAAGCAGAAGGUGUAUGGGAACCGUCACCCAUCCCUCCCUACCACCCCUGUCCCCCAGUACUGUCUGGCUCAAAUUCUUCAUGGUAGGUGGUCAGCUCACUGGAAAGUAGGCGUGGUGUAUCUACAGGUCUGUUCUCAGAAACUUGUGAGACUUCCCCAGCAAUGCCUCAAGAAGCCACCAGCUUCCCAGGAUCACCUUAUAGGACAAGGAAGGCAUAACAAAGACAAGUGUCCAAGCUCAUGUAGCCAAGGAGAAGGUUCAGGACCUUAAUGAUGGAAGAUUCGAGACCUCUCAUUCCUGAGCCCGUGGUUUCCAUCACUCUUUUUGAGAAGUGAUCACGGUGUGGAGAAUGUCUACUGAUUUACGAUUCUCAUCACCCGAAUGUGUGGCCAGUGAGGCCAUCUCACAUGACCAAGCAGUCAUCGUGAAAGAUACUGCUCAAAGCCUGGACACGCUUUCCUGGACAUUGGGCUUUUCCCUGGCUCUCCAGUGAUCGGCCUCUUUCCACCAUGUACCUGCUUGCGAAACUCCAUUCCUAGACCUGCAGGCUUCCUUAGACCCUAACUGAAAAGGUGUGGCUUUCUGUGUCCUCCAUCCACUGCCUUCAAGCAUCUGCCAAUAUUUACAGCUCAUCUACCCUAUUGUUUUUCUCUCAGAUUUUAAUGAAAAUUCUUUCACUAACAAGGGUAAGAACUAAAAGAGUAAAA